Molecule: non-coding RNA, 778 nt
Organism: Cicer arietinum (chickpea)
Lineage: Eukaryota; Viridiplantae; Streptophyta; Magnoliopsida; Fabales; Fabaceae
Source: RefSeq, a predicted model, not a curated record
AUUAAACAUGACCAUUGCUUCAGUUUAGAGUUCAUACUCUAUCUGAUUGGAUUUACUAAUUUAGGUUUUUCAUUUGAGAGGCUUGAUUCGAUUCUGGACUCAAGUUUGAUGCCUCCACGUGCAAUGUCUUGGGCUCAUUUAGGCUUGGAUGAUAUGAAGGAUUCAUGAGGCAUGGAUUCGGGAUUAGAAGUCUACUGAUUGCAUUUUGGUUUGGCAAGAAAAAAACUUAUGGAACUAUAGUUUCUCAACUGGCUUAUUAAUAAUUAAUAAUAUACAAAAAGAGGACGUACUUACAAGUGCUUCUUGGUUUUUAUUCUUUCAUUUUUUAGUUAUGUUGUUUAUGCUUUUAUUCUUUAGUUUCAAGCAGGUUGUUAUGCUAUCUAUGCCUAGUCCUUUCAUGGAUUGUGAGAAUUGCAUUGAUGGUAAAAGGGCUACAAGCUUUGUCAGUUUAAAGAAAAUCAGUUCCAGUCAUUAUUUCAUUUCGAAUGAUUUUUGGGGACCAUAGGAAAAUUUGUAGAGAGGUUUGUUUUGGCAGAAAUUUAAAAUUAUAAACCCGGUUUCUUCUUGGAACCAGGCUUAUGGUUUUUUAUUCCCUUAAUUAUCUCUAUUUAUAAGUCACUCUAUUGGGAUCUUGUAAUAAUUUAGUUUGUUUCCUUUUAUCCUUUGUUGUUGUUCUUACUGUUGCAUUGCAUACUACAAGCAUGUAUGGUUUAUGGCUCACUUUUCUGGAACAUAUUGUAAAAUUGCAACUACAAAGAGUUUAUUUUUAAUGGGAGCA